RNAcentral lists this long non-coding RNA (293 nucleotides) under Aquilegia coerulea. RNAcentral describes it as "long non-coding RNA (ACOE_LNC000736)". The record is from RNAcentral. Lineage: Eukaryota; Viridiplantae; Streptophyta; Magnoliopsida; Ranunculales; Ranunculaceae.
GCAAAAUCGAAGAAACGACAUCAUACACCAUGACAUGGUAGUUACUAGAAUGAUGCAAGUAUGUAGAAGAACCUGAGAGACCAAUACCAACCUCCGAAAGACAAACGAAAGACAUGAUCAUUGAGAAUAUUGAAAGUCACUUGCAGCUAGCCCAAAAUGAAACUGAACCAGAACACACGGCCAACCUAAAACACACACCAUUGUUGUUCGACUUGUCUUUCAACUAGACAAAUGCGAAAGCCAUUUUUUUUUUUUUUUUUUCUUUUUUUUUUUUUUUUUUUUUUUUUUUUUUU